This 429-nucleotide ribosomal RNA is filed under the name Chloroflexota bacterium. RNAcentral's name for it is "Chloroflexi bacterium partial 16S ribosomal RNA". It matches the Rfam family "Bacterial small subunit ribosomal RNA", at positions 355 to 776 of the family's 1533-position model. The record is from RNAcentral. Lineage: Bacteria; Bacillati; Chloroflexota.
UGGGGAAUAUUGCACAAUGGGCGCAAGCCUGAUGCAGCCAUGCCGCGUGUAUGAAGAAGGCCUUCGGGUUGUAAAGUACUUUCAGUCGGGAGGAAGGUGUCAAGGUUAAUAACCUUGGCAAUUGACGUUACCGACAGAAGAAGCACCGGCUAACUCCGUGCCAGCAGCCGCGGUAAUACGGAGGGUGCAAGCGUUAAUCGGAAUUACUGGGCGUAAAGCGCACGCAGGCGGUUGAUUGAGUCAGAUGUGAAAUCCCCGGGCUUAACCCGGGAAUUGCAUCUGAUACUGGUCAGCUAGAGUCUUGUAGAGGGGGGUAGAAUUCCAUGUGUAGCGGUGAAAUGCGUAGAGAUCUGGAGGAAUACCGGUGGCGAAGGCGGCCCCCUGGACAAAGACUGACGCUCAGGUGCGAAAGCGUGGGGAGCAAACAGG